GAUGAACGCUGGCGGCGUGCCUAAUACAUGCAAGUCGAGCGAACAGACGAGGAGCUUGCUCCUUCGACGUUAGCGGCGGACGGGUGAGUAACACGUAGGUAACCUACCUAUAAGACUGGGAUAACUUCGGGAAACCGGAGCUAAUACCGGAUAAUAUUUCGAACCGCAUGGUUCGAUAGUGAAAGAUGGCUUUGCUAUCACUUAUAGAUAGACCUGCGCCGUAUUAGCUAGUUGGUAAGGUAACGGCUUACCAAGGCAACGAUACGUAGCCGACCUGAGAGGGUGAUCGGCCACACUGGAACUGAGACACGGUCCAGACUCCUACGGGAGGCAGCAGUAGGGAAUCUUCCGCAAUGGGCGAAAGCCUGACGGAGCAACGCCGCGUGAGUGAUGAAGGUCUUCGGAUCGUAAAACUCUGUUAUUAGGGAAGAACAAACGUGUAAGUAACUGUGCACGUCUUGACGGUACCUAAUCAGAAAGCCACGGCUAACUACGUG
RNAcentral lists this ribosomal RNA (497 nucleotides) under uncultured bacterium. RNAcentral describes it as "partial 16S ribosomal RNA". It matches the Rfam family "Bacterial small subunit ribosomal RNA", at positions 28 to 507 of the family's 1533-position model. The record is from RNAcentral.